This is a non-coding RNA of Styela clava, 72 nucleotides long. NCBI's taxonomy places the organism in Eukaryota, Metazoa, Chordata, Ascidiacea, Stolidobranchia, Styelidae. The record is from the annotation of a RefSeq genome assembly.
GCCGCUAUAGCUCAAUGGUAGAGCACUGGUAUCGCAAGCCAGUGGGCGUGGGUUUGAUUCUCACUGGUGGCA